GGAUGAAGAACGCAGCGAAAUGCGAUAAGUAAUGUGAAUUGCAGAAUUCAGUGAAUCAUCGAAUCUUUGAACGCACAUUGCGCCCCUUGGUAUCCCGAGGGGCAUGCCUGUUCGAGCGUCAUUUCACCACUCAAGCCUGGCUUGGUGUUGGGCGACGUCCCCUUUGGGGACGCGCCUCGAAACGCUCGGCGGCGUGGCACCGGCUUUAAGCGUAGCAGAAUCUUUCGCUUUGGAAGUCGGGGCCCCGUCUGCCGGAAGACCUACUCGCAAGGUUGACCUCGGAUCAGGCAGGGAUACCCGCUGAACUUAAGCAUAUCAAUAAGCGGAGGA
Molecule: unclassified non-coding RNA, 330 nt
Filed under: soil metagenome
Description: partial contains 5.8S ribosomal RNA, internal transcribed spacer 2, and large subunit ribosomal RNA
Rfam family: 5.8S ribosomal RNA (bases 2-121)
Source: RNAcentral